AUUGACAGGGUUCAACCUGAGUAAGCUCUUUCAUUACAAAAUAAAUGGUGAAAAUUAUCUUUGAAAAUAAACAAUAAAUAGAGUAUCUAACCCCCAUUUACAAAUAGGUUGCAGAUCCUUAUUUGCAAAAUGAAGGUGGAGGACUGAACAAUUUCUAAGUUCUAACAUUCAUUGAUUCAGUAUAUAUAGAGGCAAGAACAUUCUUUUUUCAAAGUUACCUUGUAAUCUGCUAUCAGAUUAAUUUUCCUAAAAAUACGUUUGUCACAAUUUCACUCUGUCUGAAACAUAGUUUGGCUUCCCAUUUUCCACAGGAUGAAGUACAAUUUCCUGACACUGACAUUCAAGGUCUUCCAGCAUUUUUGAAGAAGACAGUCACUUGCAUUUCACCUAUGAUUGUGUUGUGUCUUGUGAUUAUUCACAUUGAUUUGCAAUGCAUUUUUGUGUCAAAAGAUUGAAGUACUCAGACCAGCAGACAAUUCUCAGACUUUUCCCAAAAUCAAACCACUUUGAGAGCACUGGAAGCUUUCAGGACCCCAUCCUAUCCUGAGAUGCCAGAAUAAAAAGACUCAAUACUCCA
RNAcentral lists this long non-coding RNA (577 nucleotides) under Monodelphis domestica (gray short-tailed opossum). Its description in RNAcentral is "lncRNA (ENSMODG00000032771.2)". The record is from RNAcentral. Lineage: Eukaryota; Metazoa; Chordata; Mammalia; Didelphimorphia; Didelphidae.